Molecule: ribosomal RNA, 428 nt
Filed under: uncultured prokaryote
Description: bacterial SSU rRNA
Rfam family: Bacterial small subunit ribosomal RNA
Source: RNAcentral
UCGAGAAUCAUUCGCAAUGGGCGAAAGCCUGACGGUGCGACGCCGCGUGGAGGAUGAAGGUCCUAGGAUUGUAAACUCCUGUCAUCAGGGAGUAAAGCUCAGGUGUUAAUAGCGCCUUGAGCCUGCUAGUACCUGAAGAGGAAGGGGCGGCUAACUCCGUGCCAGCAGCCGCGGUAACACGGAGGCCCCCAGCGUUGUUCGGAAUUACUGGGCGUAACGGGUGCGUAGGCGGCGAGGUAAGUCAGAUGUGAAAGCCCGGGGCUCAACCCCGGAAUUGCAUCCGAGACUGCUUUGCUUGAGGGUUGGAGAGGAGACUGGAAUUCACGGUGUAGCAGUGAAAUGCGUGGAUAUCGUGAGGAAGGCCAAUGGCGAAGGCAGGGCUCUGGACAACUCCUGACGCUGAUGCACGAAGGCAAGGGGAGCAAAAA